RNAcentral lists this ribosomal RNA (468 nucleotides) under uncultured bacterium. Its description in RNAcentral is "bacterial SSU rRNA". It matches the Rfam family "Bacterial small subunit ribosomal RNA", at positions 917 to 1382 of the family's 1533-position model. The record is from RNAcentral.
GGGCCCGCACAAGCAGCGGAGCAUGUUGUUUAAUUCGACGCAACGCGAAGAACCUUACCAGGGCUUGACAUCCAAUGAAUCCUACGGAAACGUGGGAGUGCCCUUCGGGGAGCAUUGAGACAGGUGGUGCAUGGUUGUCGUCAGCUCGUGUCGUGAGAUGUUGGGUUAAGUCCCGCAACGAGCGCAACCCUUAUGGUCAGUUACCAGCGAGUAAAGUCGGGGACUCUGACAAGACUGCCGUGGAUAACACGGAGGAAGGUGGGGACGACGUCAAAUCAUCAUGCUCCUUAUGUCCUGGGCUACAAACGUGCUACAAUGGCCGUAACAGAGAGAAGCGAAACCGCAAGGUGGAGCCAAACUCGCAAAAGCGGUCACAGUUCGGAUUGUGGGCUGCAACCCGCCCACAUGAAGUUGGAGUUGCUAGUAAUCGCGAAUCAGAAUGUCGCGGUGAAUGCGUUCCCGGGCCUU